This 117-nucleotide ribosomal RNA is filed under the name Jaculus jaculus (lesser Egyptian jerboa). Lineage: Eukaryota; Metazoa; Chordata; Mammalia; Rodentia; Dipodidae. The record is from RNAcentral.
GACUACUGCCAUACCACACUGAAUGUGCCCAAUCUUGUCUGAUCUCGGCAGCUAAGCAGAGUACUUGCUUGGGAGAAUCCUCCCACCAAAAAGAGAGGAACACAGAUGUGAUAGUAU